GGUCUUUUGGUGUAAAGCAUAUGGAAUUGCAAGUUCUAAGGAGUAUAAAGUAUAAGACUU
RNAcentral lists this transfer RNA (60 nucleotides) under Armillifer agkistrodontis. Its description in RNAcentral is "tRNA-Cys". The record is from RNAcentral. Lineage: Eukaryota; Metazoa; Arthropoda; Ichthyostraca; Porocephalida; Armilliferidae.